This is a small nuclear RNA of Ictidomys tridecemlineatus (thirteen-lined ground squirrel), 111 nucleotides long. The record is from Ensembl. NCBI's taxonomy places the organism in Eukaryota, Metazoa, Chordata, Mammalia, Rodentia, Sciuridae.
GUGUUCGCUUGCUUCGGCAGCACAUAUACUAAAAUUGGAAGGAGACAGAGAAGAUUAGUAUGGCCCCUGCUGAAGGAUGACACACAAAUUCAUGUAGCAUUGCUUAUUUAA